RNAcentral lists this long non-coding RNA (957 nucleotides) under Helianthus annuus (common sunflower). RNAcentral describes it as "hypothetical non coding rna". Lineage: Eukaryota; Viridiplantae; Streptophyta; Magnoliopsida; Asterales; Asteraceae. The record is from RNAcentral.
CAUCAACAUUUUACAAAAAAAAAAAAUCUCAUCUUUCUCCACUCUUGGCUACUCUCGGCCGAGAGCUACCUCACACCCACCAUCUUUUUCCAAUUCCAUUAUUGGCAUUUUAUAUACAUUCAAGUGUGAAAGGGUUCAUACGAAGAGGCUCGGUGCAUACGGAAUCGCAAGGACCUCACCACAUUGCUUUUAACCACCCAUUUUUCGACUAGUUUCUUCCCUAGCCUCGAGCUAGUAGUCGUCGCACAGCCGCUUGAUCAGGGAUACACUUGGUAGAGACGCACCACUGUGAGUUCAUGUCCCCCUUUUCUCUAACUGUUUUCAGUUUACUUAACUGCGGGGGUGAAAUACAUGUUACUAUGAUUUACGAGUACUUUACAACGGUAUGUUUAACGUAAGGAGGUGUUAUACGAUCAUGUGAGUGGAUAGGAACAACAUGGGGCCAUUAGUCCUCAUGGAGGGACCGAGGGACAGGAGCGGUAGAUCUAUCUGGGUGUAGCGAGCCCAGCCCCCGGCCAAACUAGAAACGGACCGUGGGGUGACUUUGUCCACAUACUUUGCCGUGGCGAAAUCUGCUAGGUUUGAGUCUCCCUAUUUGCACUUCACAUAUGUCAGUGGCCUUGCAAACCAUUGGUGAUCACAAGUCCUCUUACACUGCUACAUACCAAAACUAUUUUUAUACUCACAAAUGUUUUACAUACUCACCUACACGUGAACUCGCUCAACAUUAUUGUUGAUUUUUCAACUCACAUGUAUUUCAGGAAAUUAAACGGAUCUGGCACGGUAUGGAAUGUUUUUCCGCUGCACUGGUCAUGAAGUCAUCAGGGUUUAGGGUUGUGUCUCUUACCUGGACAAGACACAAUCCCUAAAUCACGUUUAUGUUUUGUUAUAAGUUGUAAUGUUACUGAACAAGGUUAUGGUUGCAUGAUAAAAACAAUGGUAUUUCACACAAAUUAA